RNAcentral lists this ribosomal RNA (235 nucleotides) under uncultured bacterium. RNAcentral's name for it is "partial 16S ribosomal RNA". It matches the Rfam family "Bacterial small subunit ribosomal RNA", at positions 99 to 334 of the family's 1533-position model. The record is from RNAcentral.
CGGACGGGUGAGUAACGCGUGGAUAACCUGCCUCACACAGGGGGAUAACAGUUAGAAAUAGCUGCUAAUACCGCAUAAGCGCACGGUUCCGCAUGGAACAGUGUGAAAAACUCCGGUGGUGUGAGAUGGACCCGCGUCUGAUUAGCCAGUUGGCGGGGUAACGGCCCACCAAAGCGACGAUCAGUAGCCGGCCUGAGAGGGUGACCGGCCACAUUGGGACUGAGACACGGCCCAG